CAUCAUAUCCAUCACCUAGUAAUCAUGUGUUCCUCUUGGUACUUCCCAUGUUUCAUCUCCUCUUACUACUACUACUACUACUACUGAAAGAACAACAAGUCCUCAAAUAUACAACUUAUCUACGUUUUAUCUCCUACUACUGAAAGAACAACAAUUCCCCAAAAUACACAACCACAAACACAUACCGAAUUUGAUAUUGUACCACAAAUAAAAGAAGAAAAUGACCACAAUAGUCAAUCUCAAUAUUUUAUUCCAUUUGGAGACCUACCUUACCCGAUCCUCAUAACCCGCAUCUACCAUGGGGAAAUUCAGAUAACAAAGUAUGGAUUUAUACUCUAAAAGGAAAGUAAGUCGAAUUGUUUUUUAAUUUAAUAUGUAUGUAUAGUUAAUGAAUUUAUUAUUUGAAAAUUAUGAAUAAUUUGUUUUGAAUUUGUUCAUGUAAUCCAUUUGUUAAAUUUCACAACUUCUAUCCCAAUGAUAAUAGGACUAAAGAUAUAUCAAAGAAAUUAAAUCUAUGUUUGAUGGUCUCUACAACAAAUGGAAAUUUUAUAACUCCAAAAUCAAAGAAAUGUGGUUUAAAGAGUUGGCGGCUACAAAUGGAUUGGUGAACAAGAGAUAACUAUUAAGGCUUUAUGGACAUCAAAAGCUAAAGAUCUACUAAGAAAGAUAAUGUCAAGAGCACAUGAAAAAAUGCCACAAAAUCCACAUGAAUCCCAAAAACCGUGUGGGCACAAUUGCUUGUAAAGUGGGAAGAUGAAGAUUAUCAAACAUUACAAUGUGCGGCAGUUGCUAAUCGUGAUUAAGAUAUUUGUGGUUCAUUGCAUACUCAAGGAUCUAAGAAUCAACUAAAGCAUGAACUUGAAUUGAAUAAAAGUUUAGAAAGGAUUCCACACAAGGGUGAACUAUUCAAGAAGUGUCACACAAGCAAGGGUACACAAAAUUUUGUGGAUAAGAUAUCAAGUGAUGCAUACGUGAGUAUCAAUUUUAAUUAUCUUUUUAUUCAACUAGUUAUUUUUGCAUAAUUUCUUUUAAAUCUCUAUCUCAUUGCGUUCAUCAAAUGUAUUGUUAGGAUAAUAACAACCUAUUAAGAACUUCAUUACUCUCCCCUUUAAUUUAUGGAUGAACAUCCUACAUAAUAUAUAGAAAUAAACACAACAAUAAACAACCCUUUGAUCAUAACAACCUGUUAUAUGACAAUGAUAUAUAAUAUAUGACAUUGAUUAACUGUAACUUUUAUUGACAUAUGUUGUGAUAAAAAUGCAUACGGCGUUGAAUGAUUGAAAAGUCACAUUAUAAUUUGUCUCUAUAACAUAGAAAAAGGAUUGUGCAUAAUCUAACACCACCUUUCUUUUAUUCAAGUUAUCAUUGUUUGCACUUUUUUAUUCAAACAACAUCAUAUAUAUGAAAAGACAGUGCAUAAUCUAGCCUGUUAGAACUUUGAAAAAAAAUAAAGGUAUUCUUGUUAUCCAAUAGAUAAAAAAUAGAUGGUAUGAAGUGUACUAAAUUGUUUUGGGGGGAUGGGACUGUUCAACUAAAGUGUAGAAUACAUAUAAGAAUGCAUGUCAAACAAUCUUAUAUUUAAAGGUAGAUAUACUGACAGAUAUUAUCAUAUAUUUUCUUAAAAGUUGGUCUGGCUCACUUGCUCUAAAAUAGAAGUUGUGCAUGAUGAAUAUAUUUUUGAAAAUUUACAUGCAUAUGUGGCUUGAUGGAUUCUGGAUUCUCUUUCCUAGCAAGAAAAAUGAAAAAAAAAACUAAAAUGAUUGAAAUUAUCUAAUUUUUGUUCCAUAGUAUCUUUUGAAGUGGACCCCUCUUUACUAUAUAUAUUUUUAUAAAUGUAUUGUUGUUUAUUUUUCUAUGGAAUA
Molecule: long non-coding RNA, 1862 nt
Organism: Vicia villosa (hairy vetch)
Lineage: Eukaryota; Viridiplantae; Streptophyta; Magnoliopsida; Fabales; Fabaceae
Exons: 3
Source: RefSeq, a predicted model, not a curated record